UUGUAACUGCAAAUCCGAUCAGCAGAGAUUUCUGAGAUAUUUCACCGCUAUCACCAGUUUCAUUCUGGAAAAUAACAACAGAGGAUGAGAAGGAGAGAAGCACGACGGAGUUGAGUAUAAUUGCUGUGAUUUUAUGUCCGUUGAGGAAGAAGGAGGUGAUGGCGUUGAACGCCAAUUGAGUACCGGAAAUUAGGGAAUAAGUAGAGGCAGGAAGGUACUGUACUCCAACGGUAAAUGACAUAGAGUUCACUACUUGAAAUAAACCAAGGAAGAUGUAAACGGAAGCGCGAACAAAUACACUAGCAUUCACAGGUGGUUCAUUUUGAUUUCUGGUUGCAGAAUAGAAAAUAAAAGGCAGAAGAAUUGGGAAUCCAGCAGUUUGUGCUAGUGUAGCAAUCCAUCUGAUUUUGCCUCCUUGUUCAUAAUAUACUCUGCCCAACAGAGUCCCAGCUGCUUGACCACCAAUAGUAAAAAAUGUGAAGAUAAAUAUUUGUAGCCAUAGUAUAAAUUUACUCGACUGAAAUUUGCUGUUUUUCGCAUUUUCAGAGGACUCUGUUUCCUCUGCUUCUUCAUCUGUCAAAUGAAACAGGGCAACAUAAAAACAGAGAGACCAAAAUCAAAAUUGACUUCUAAUUCAGUGAAUUUGAGCGGGUUUAGCUCGAUCCAUUUCAACCAAACCCGUUUCAAUACUGUGGUUUGAUAUAGGUAACCUUAUAAACUCUAGAUUUAUCAAAAUCGAUGCAUCGGUGAAGCCAAAAAUUCAAAGUAAUAGAUUAAAAAUCAAAUGAAAUAUUUUUUUGCCUGUUUACGUAGUGUAAAUUUUUCAGUAGAGAUUUAAUAUGAUUUUGACUCAAUUGAGAUGACGAUGAAGAAGAAGAGCAACUGACAAGCUAGAUGAUGCAGCAAGUUUUCAUGAGCUCCUUCUUCCAUGCUAACAAAGUUUGUAUAAACCGUUUUUUUCUUCUUUUAUUGAAUGAUCAAUGAACUAUGGACACCCCAACCACAUUUUAUAAUUCAUUCCUUUAAUUUUAAUUUUAUAAUACUAAAUUAAAAUUAUAUCAAAUACGUGUGAUCUUAGAUAUAAUAGAUUUUAAGGAGUGUCAAUUUAAAAAAAGGAAGUAAAAAAAAUUAGAUGUUAGUUGAUAUAUCGUCUUAUAAGUAUUAAUUUGUUAUAAAACCAAAGAAUAUCUUAUUAAUUUAAUAGCGGAUUAGUAAAUUAAAAAAUCCAUAUCUAUUAAACCAAAUUAUUAAGCAAAAUUAAUCAUUUGGUGAACAAUCCUAUUUGGUAGUAUUUACCUAACUUCUGACUUUUGAGUGCUAAAUUCUAAUUUAAAAAAAAUAAAAUAUAAUAAUUUCUACUGAAUAUACAGUACUGUUAGGAAAUCAAUAAUCUAUUUUUUGGAAAUUCAAGAGUAUUGAGCAUAUUUGACAGAAUAGAUUCUUUUUAGACUUUAAUAUAAACACUAAAUAUUAAAUAUUUAUAAAAAAUAAAUAAAGGUCACAUCUCAUAAAGAUUAAAGGACCCCUCCAUUUUUAUUGGUGUGGGUCUCUGUGUACAUUUUUAUAGGUAUCAUCAAUUAUGUAACACACCUAAUUGUAAGUGGAGGCAGGGGCCGGUAAUUGAAUAUUUAAACUACACUCAACGACUAAUGACUUUUUAUUUUAAUGAUAUUUAAAUGAAGAUAAAUAAUAAUACAAAAUAAAAAUAAAAACAGUGUGAAAUUUCAUAAAUAGCUAAGGGAUGAAUCCUAAUAAUCUUCCGUAGUUACAUUUUGUCUAAUUAUGAUCCACAAUUAUUGUUUCAUUUCGUUGGGUUCAUUUUUCGUUCGCAUAUUUAAUUAUUUUUUUAAUAUAUAAUAAAUUAUACAAAUUGACUUUAUACAAGUUACAUAUUAUACAAACUAUGACUAUAGACAAAUAAGUGAUUGUAUACGAGUGUUGAAAUUAUAUAAUUGAUUCGUAUAAAGUAUUGUGGGUGAUACUAAAAAGAAAAAAUAUUACUAAUUUUUUUUUAAAAAAAACAUUUGUAUAAACACAAAUAUAUAUAGAUAUGUACGAUAUAAUAAUAAAAUAAUUAAAUAUACAAAUACAAAAAUAUAUAAAAAUAGAAUCUAUAUAAGUAAGUGUUCUUUGAUUAAACUGUGACCACAACUCAUAAUUAUAUAAAACUAUAAUUAUAUUAAAUAAUAUAUCAAUAAUAUUUAUCAAUUGACCUAACUUUUCCUAAAAUUAAUUAGUUCAACUAAUAUCAACGGAGAAAAGGACAGUACAAUAGGGGGUCCCAAAGGACGAAAUAAUUGAAUCUUUGAGAAGAUCCUAAAGCUUCUUUUUUGUUUUUUUUUAAUUAAAAAAAGAUUCAAAUGUCAAUUUGGACAACGAAAUUAUUGAAUCAUCGAAAAGAUUCUAAAGUUCCUUUCUUGCUUUUUUGGUUGAAGAAUUUUAUUUUACAGCCUUAUUAAAUAAAUUAUAAUUCAUAAAUACGAUACAUAAUAUAUCUUAAAAUAACACAUUAAUGAAUUGAAAUUUUUUUAAAAUAAAUGUUUAUAGUUAUCAGUUCAAAUAUGUAUUAUUUUACUUAGAUUCACUGAUCAACAUGAGUAGUAACUAGUUAUUUUUUAAUAGACAAACAAUCUUUUCAUAUUAAUCUUUUUGGGAAAAAAUAAACAAUUUUUUUUAUAAAAUAUAAAUUUAUAGAUCAACUUUUGUAUUUAUUUAUUUUUUAGGUAAAAUCACUAUUUAAAAUUCUAUAUUAUAUUUCUUAGAAAAUUUGAAAUUUAAAUUUAGAGUGAUUAUCAUGAAUUAAAUGCUCGCUCAAAUUAGAUAAUGUUAUAUCGCAAGCUUUAUUUAUUUAUUUUUUAAUUUUCUAUCUUGUGUUCAGAAUUCAUGUUCCGAUUAAAUUCGAAUUGUGCUACGCAGGGCCGUUAGGGAGUGGUGCCCCAAUAGAAACGCAAUCUUAUUUGAUUACAAGUUAGUGCUAUUUUUGUUAGUGGGGUGAAAGUUUGUCGUGUUGGUUGGUUGUGCGUGAGUUUUUGUUUUAUAAAGGAUAAGGGCAUGCCAUCUUGACAAAUGACACGUAACGUAUAAAAAGUCUAUCCUCGACCCCACUAAUUGGCGGAUUAAGGAUUUUAAAAUUGUGAGUGCUUCAAGUCCAUUAAACCCUAACACAACAGAUGCAAUAUACAACUUUGACUAUCCACAAAUGACCACCGCAUCAAUCAAUUUUUGAUAUGAGAAUAAUGGGUGCUCGAGCAGCCAGAAUAAUCAAUAUGAAAUCGAACUUAUUUUGACCACCGAAUAUGAAAAUUUUGGAAACCAAACGCACCCUUUAUAUGGAAGAACAAAAGAUACCUAAAUACAUAGCCAGAAGCAAAUCCAAUAUAUAAACAGCAGUUCAAUUUACACAGAAAUCAUAAAAUUUUACAUUUAAACAAUAAGCUAUAAAUUUACACAUUUAACUUGUCAAUCUAAAUAAGGAAGCUAAAUCAUUCAGAUAUAUAAGUUUCUUGAAUGAAAGGUUUGUUAAAAAUCAUCAUCCUGAUCAUCUGAGGAUUUAACUUCACUUGUUUUUGCCUCUAAAUCAUCGAGAUAAUGUUGAUAUAUAUAUGAUGCAUAUCCCCAUAAUCCCAAUAACAAUGAAAACACCUUCAACCCAUUCAUUCUAUCUUUCAAGAACAACAUCGCAAAUAUUGGUACAAUUGAAGUUCCCAGAUUGAUAAUCACAUUUGAAAACAACGAAGACGCCUUAAAAACCAAUCCAACUGAUCCAAGAGCGUAUAAUUGCCAAGCAAUAGCAGAACAAACUAAGUUUAAAACAUAUGACGAUUUCCCUGUUCUGUAUUCUCCCAUUUCCUUCCCCAAAUCCCUCCAAUUACCGCUCACGAAAAGCCCAGUUAACGAAGCUAUCGUCACGAAAAAACCUAUGAAAAACGACAUUUUCAUGACUUGUUUUAACGUGUUACUUUUGAAUACCUUUUGGAAUGCGAGUUCUGUUAAUGAGAACUGUAAUGCGUAACCUAGAGAACCGAAUGUUGUAGCUGCAAAUCCGAUCAGCAGAGAUUUCUGAGAUAUUUCUCCGCUAUCACCAGUCUCAUUCUGGAAUAUAACAGCAGAGGAUGAAAAGGAGAGAAGCACGACGGAGUUGAGUAUAAUUGCUGUGAUUUUUUGUCCGUUGAGGAGGUAGGAGGUGAUGGCGUUGAACGCCAAUUGAGAACCGGAGAUUAGGGAAUAAGUAGAGGCAGGAAGGUACUGUACUCCAACGGUAAAAGACAUAGAGUUUACUACUUGAAAUAAACCAAGGAAGAUGUAAACGGAAGCGCGAACAAAUAUGGAAGGGUGGUGAAUGGUUCGUUCAUCUUCAUUGUGAUUUUUGGGUGAAGGAUAGCAAAUGAAAGGCAGGAGAAUUGAGAAUCCAGCAGUUUGUGCCAAUGUAGCAAUCCAUCUGGUUUGGCCACCUUGUUCAUAGUAUACUCUGCCCAACAGAGUGCCAGCUGCUUGACCACCAAGAGUAAAAAAAGUGAAGAUGAAUAUUUGAAGCCAUAGUAUGAAUUUACUUGAUUGAAGUCUGCUGGUUUUUGCAUUUUCAGAGGACUCUGUUCCCUCUGCUUCUUCAACUGUCAAAUGAAACAGGGCAACACAAAAACAGAGAGAUCAAAGUCUCGCCAUCUUAGUAACUCAGUUGAUUACGAAUCUCACUUAAUAUUAUUUUUUCUUCUAUCCAUAAAUUAAAUCCUUUAAAAUAAACAAAAAGAAUAGAAUAUAUACUCUAAAGGUCAAAUAUAUUACAUCAGCAUUUGGUGGAACCAAGAGUUCUAAAUUCAUUUUUUUAAUAAUGAAAAACAAUGCUCUGUUAGAUAGAGAGUGCAAAAUAACAAUAAUAAUUUAAUUCUGGAUAAGCCACGGAAUCAAGAGCAUAUUUGAAUGAAUAAAAGAUAAAACGAAAUUUAUUCAGAAGUUCUUAUCCAAUAAUAAUUCAGAAAUUGGGAUAGAAUUAGAGCAGGGACAGAGCUAGCAAAAGUCGAUGAGGUUUAUCGGGUUACAUUUCAUGAGGUAGAUUAGGGAUCGAUUCCCUCUGUCAAUUCCUGAUAACUCUAGCUCUUUCAGUUUGUUGCAUAGGCUUUGUUUAGUACGAUUUAUAUUUGCUAGUUAUAACAUAGAAACGGGUUAAGAAUUACAACAUAGACUUUUCAGCUACUCCACGACAGGAUUUUUCUUUGAAUUAAAGUUUGAAAGUGGUGACGAGUAAGAAGAAGAAGAAAAAUGGUAUAUUAACCAAAAGCAAAAUCAGGAAUUCAAGCAAGGAGAUUCAAAAACAUACAAAACUUUUCAUAAUUUUUUUUUUUCCCUAGUAUAAUUUUUCGACUAAGCUUCCCAACACAGAUGACAAUAAAUUGAGAUGAUGAAGAAGAGGAGAGAACUAACCAGUGAGAUUCAGCAGUUUUUCAUGUGCUCCUUCCAUGCUAACACGCGCCUUAAAAUUUGGAUGACCGUUUUCUUCUCUUAUUGAUCUAUAUUAACUUAUAGAAGCACAAAGUAUUAUUCUGUUUUUUUUAUUUGCACAACUGGAUUUAUCGUGAUUAGUCACCCAUCAGGAAAAAUUAUAUAAAUUGAUAUAUUUUAAUAAAUUAUUAUUAAUUUUUUUAAAUAAUACUUAUAUAGUAUAUGAAUAUUAAUGUUUUCUUUUUUGUAAAUUGACAUUAAAAUACUUUUUUUAAAAAAAAUAUUGAUCAAGUACGUUAUAUUUGCAAAUAUUAAAAAAACUUUUCUCGAAAAAUUUGUCAAAGAAAACUGUUUUUUUUUCUUUUUCAAAAGGUACUUUAAAUUAACGAUACUUGUGAUAACAUUAUUUUUCACAAAAAUUAAUUCAUAAAAAAUUGUAUAAAAAUAAGUUCAGCAAUAUGUUCUCUUUUAGGUCUUUAUAUUUUCUCCGCCUUACGCGAACUUAAAAGAGUACUUGAGGUGAAUUUUAUAUUAAAAUAUGUGUUUGUUUAUGAUAUUUGAACAAAUUUCAUUUUUUUAAAAUCUUUUUAUAUAUAUAUUGUCAAACUAUACAAUUUGAGUUUAUACAAAUAACAUAUCAUAUACGACUCAUUGUAUUUGUGUUGUAUACAAACCUUUACUGUAGACAAAUAAGUCAUUAUACAUGAGUGUUGAAAUUAUAUCAAUGGUUCGUACGGAGUAUUGUGGGUAACAAUAUAUUGAAAAAAAAUACACAACAAAAAAUUAAAAAAUAUUUAUAGAUGCAAAUAUGUAUAGAUAUACAUAUAUACUAACAAAAUUGUUAAUACGUAUGAAAAUAUAAAAAUAUAUAUAAAUUAAUAUAUACAAACACCUAAGAUUCUUUAUAAAAAUUUUCAUUAUAUUAUAGCUAAAAAAUUUAGUUAUAUAAAACAAUAACUAUAUUAAAUUGUAUACUAAUAUUACAUGUCAAUUUACAUGAUUUUUUUAAAAUUAAUUAUUUCAACAAAUAUAUGAACAAAAGAACAAAAGGACAGCACACCGUGGGGUCCGAAAGGACGAAAUAAUUGAAUCUUUGAAAAGAUCCUAAAAAAAUAAAUCAUGAAUUGAUAUUUAAUUGAAUACGUAAUUUGGAUCUUUUAUGAUUUUUUUUAAUUAAGACUCCAAGUUGUGUAAUUUAUUCAGAUUUAAGAAAAAUUUAUAGAGUCUUGUAUAAUUCAUAAAUAAAAUACUAGAAUGUUCUAAAACGAUGCAUUUAUAAAUCUCAUUUUUUGCAUAUUUUUUUCUAUAAAUAAAUGCUUACAGUUACGAGCUUUCAAAUAUAUAUAAAUUAAUAAAGUUCACAAUCAAUAAUAAUAGUAAUUGGUUAUUUUUUGAUUGAAUAUUUUCCCAAGAGUACAACCAAUCUCUUCCGGUCAAUUUUAAGUUUUCUUUUUGAAAAAAAAAUCAAAACAAGUUCUUUUCUAUAGUAUAUAUAUAGGAAUUUUAGGUCAAGUUUUAUAUUCCUUUUUUUUAAAAUCACUAUUUAAAAUUCUGUUUUUCUUAAAAUAAAAUAUGAAAACUUAAAUUUAAAAUUACGACUUAACGUGACCAAACAUAAACAUUGAUUUGUGUUGUGUGAGUUGUUUUUACAGUAGAAGGAUAAGGGUUUGCCAUCUUGAGUCUUGACAAAUGACAAGUAACGGGGUGAGUCAGGGUGUAUGAUCUUUUUAUUUUCUUUAAUAUUUUGUUAUACGUAAAAUUAAUUUUUAUAAUUAUUAAAUGUCGUGUGUUUUCAUUUGAUUUGUCAUUUUAUCACAUUAUAUGUUUUUGUUCUACACACAAGUGUUUAAUAGAAAAUAAAGGUGUGUAAGUAAAUUAUAUUGAUAAUUUUAAUUUUAAGGGCCCCAAAUAAUCUGUGCCUUUUAUAUAUAAAUAUAUAUAUAUAUAUGUAAAUUAUAUAAUUUGGUUUUGUACUAGUAAAGUAUUAUAUUCAAAUAGAUAAAUAAAUAAUUUUUGAGUGCUGAAAGUAUACAAGUGGUUCGAACAAAAUAUUAUGGUGAUAAUAUAACGGAAAAUAAAUAUAAGACUAAAAAUAAAAAGUUAUUUAUGUAGAUGGAAAUACGUACAGAUAUACAUGGUAAUUAAUAUACUAACAAAAUUAUUAAUUAUGUAUACAAAUAUAAGAAUACAUUAAAAUUAAUAUAUCCUGAUAUAAUUUAUAUAAACGCCUGAAAUUCUUGAUAACUAAUUUUAUUAAAUUAUAGCUAUAAUUCAUAAUUAUAUAAAAUUAUAACUAUAUAUUAUAUAAUAAACUACAAAUAUUAUUUGCUAAUUUACGUGAUUUUUUCGAAAAUUAAUUAGUUCAACAAAUCUAUGAACAUGAGGGUCCCAAAGGACGAAAUAAUUGAAUCUUUGAAAAGAUCCUUUUUUGUCGUCUGGUUAAAAAGAUUCUAAGGUCAAUUUGGACUGGAUCAUGAUUUUAAAUUUUAAUUUGAAUAUGUAAUUGGGAUCUUUUAUGGGUUUUUAAUAUAAAAAUUUUAAAGUUGCAAAAAUCCUUUAAUUUAUCUAAAAAAAUUUAUAGGUCUUAUCAAAUAAAUAAUUAUAAUGCAAAAAUAAGAUAUUAAAAUAUCUUAAAACAACGCAUUGAUAAAUCACAUGCAUGCAUGUUCCUUUUGUAAAUAAAUAUUUACAAUUAUAAACUUUCAAAAAUAUGUAAAAUUUUGCUAAAAUCAUUAAGACUAGUAAUUAUUUAUUUUUUGCUAAAAUAUUUUAACAUAAUACAAACAAUCUCUUUAUAUUAAAAUAAAUUAUUUAAAAUUUUAAAUUAUAUUUUUUUAGAAAAUAUGAAAUUUAAAUUUAGAAUGAUUAUCACGAAUCAAAUGCACACUCAAAUAUUAAUUUAAAAUUAGGGGAGCUUUCGCAAAUAGUCACUAUAUAUAACAAGCUUAACUAUGCUCCAUAGCUAUAACUUACAUAUUUAUGGAUUGUAGCUACAAUCUAAGCUGUCUCUUUCAUAUAAUUCGUGAAUUUGUGUAAUUCGCAGGUUUAUAUAACCUGCGGGUACAUUUGUAGAGUUCAGUUAUUUUUGUAUGAACUCGAAGUAACAAAUUUAUACAAUAACAAACAUCAGAAGUGUAAACAGUUAUACACAUAAUAUUAUAUAAAUUUCAAAUUAUACAAAAGUUAUGCAAAUUAUAUUACAAAUUCUGAAUUAUAUAAAUAUGUAAAUUAUACAAAAUUAAAAAACGAAACAUCAUAAUUAUAAUUAAAAGUAGAUCAUAAUUAAUAAAACAAAAAUAAAAUAUAACUAUAUUAACUAAUAAGCGUAAUUUUCCCUUAAAAUAUUUAUUCCGUGACCAAACGCAAACAUUGAUUUGUUGUGCGUUAGUUUUUAUAAACGAUAAGGGGGCAUGCCAUCUUCACAAAUAGCAACUAACGUAUAAAAAGUCGUCCCUCAGCCCACACUUAUUUGACUUCUUUUCAUUCAGCUGGACCACUGAGGAUGAGGCCUAACGGAUGGGCAUGUGCGUGCGUUCGUAAAUUUUAAAAAGAUUAUAUAAAUAUAAAUAUUUUGAAAAAUUUAUAAUGUAUUUAUAAAAAAUAUAAAAUUAACGUUGUAUUGUUGGUACAAGUUAGAGUAUUUAUACUCAAAACUUGAAUUUGAAUCCGUUAGAGCUUAUAUUUGAGGUAAGGUAAUAUUGGUGCACCCGUUUUAUUGAAGAACAAAAGAUACACAAAUACAUAGCCAAAGGCAAAUCCAUUAUAUUAAGACGAUUGGAUAACAAGCUACAACUUUACAUAUUGAACUUAUCCAUCUGAAUUACAAAGUUUCUUACUAAAAAUCAUCAUCCUGAUUAUCUGAGGCUUUAAUUUCACUAUUUUUUGCCUCUAAGUCAUCGAGAUAAUGUUGAUAUAUAUAUGAUGCAUAUCCCCAUAAUCCCAAUAGCAAUGAAAACACCUUCAACCCAGUAAUUCUAUCUUUCAAGAACACCAUUGCAAAUAUUGGCACAAUUGAACCUCCAAAAUUGAUGAUCACAUUAGAGAACAACGAAGAUGCCUUUGAAACCAAUCCAAAUGAUCCAACAGCGUAUAACUGCCAAGAAAUGGCAGUACAAAUCAAGUUUAUAAAAUAGGACGACUUCCCUGUUCUGUAUUCUCCUAUUUCCUUCUCCAAAUCCCUCCAAUUACCGCUCGCGAAAAGCCCAAUCAACGAAGCUAUCGUCACGAAAAAACCUAUGAAAAACGACAUUUUCAUGACUUGUUUUAACGUGUUACUUUUGAAUACCUUUUGGAAUGCGAGUUCUGUUAAUGAGAACUGUAAUGCGUAACCUAGAGAACCGAAUGUUGUAACUGCAAAUCCGAUCAGCAGAGAUUUCUGAGAUAUUUCACCGCUAUCACCAGUCUCAUUCUGGAAAAUAACAACAGAGGAUGAGAAGGAGAGAAGCACGACGGAGUUGAGUAUAAUUGCAGUGAUUUUGUGUCCGUUGAGGAAGAAGGAGGUGAUGGCGUUGAACGCCAAUUGAGUACCGGAAAUUAGGGAAUAAGUAGAGGCAGGAAGGUACUGUACUCCAACGGUAAAUGACAUAGAGUUCACUACUUGAAAUAAACCAAGGAAGAUGUAAACGGAAGCGCGAACAAAUAUAGAAGGGUGGUGAGUGGUUAGUUCAUCUUCAUUGUGAUUUUUGGGUGAAGGAUAGCAAAUGAA
RNAcentral lists this long non-coding RNA (10141 nucleotides) under Solanum lycopersicum (tomato). Its description in RNAcentral is "long non-coding RNA (SLYC_LNC001189)". The record is from RNAcentral. Lineage: Eukaryota; Viridiplantae; Streptophyta; Magnoliopsida; Solanales; Solanaceae.